RNAcentral lists this ribosomal RNA (465 nucleotides) under Vreelandella stevensii. RNAcentral describes it as "partial 16S ribosomal RNA". It matches the Rfam family "Bacterial small subunit ribosomal RNA", at positions 338 to 795 of the family's 1533-position model. Lineage: Bacteria; Pseudomonadati; Pseudomonadota; Gammaproteobacteria; Oceanospirillales; Halomonadaceae. The record is from RNAcentral.
CCUACGGGUGGCAGCAGUGGGGAAUAUUGGACAAUGGGCGAAAGCCUGAUCCAGCCAUGCCGCGUGUGUGAAGAAGGCCUUCGGGUUGUAAAGCACUUUCAGUGGGGAAGAAAGCCUUGGGGCUAAUACCCUCGAGGAAGGACAUCACCCACAGAAGAAACACCGGCUAACUCCGUGCCAGCAGCCGCGGUAAUACGGAGGGUGCGAGCGUUAAUCGGAAUUACUGGGCGUAAAGCGCGCGUAGGCGGUCUGAUAAGCCGGUUGUGAAAGCCCCGGGCUCAACCUGGGAACGGCAUCCGGAACUGUCAGGCUAGAGUGCAGGAGAGGAAGGUAGAAGUCCCGGUGUAGCGGUGAAAUGCGUAGAGAUCGGGAGGAAUACCAGUGGCGAAGGCGGCCUUCUGGACUGACACUGACGCUGAGGUGCGAAAGCGUGGGUAGCAAACAGGAUUAGAUACCCCGGUAGUC